GACGAACGCUGGCGGCGUGCUUAACACAUGCAAGUCGAACGGAAAGGCCCUGCUUUUGUGGGGUGCUCGAGUGGCGAACGGGUGAGUAACACGUGAGUAACCUGCCCUUGACUUUGGGAUAACUUCAGGAAACUGGGGCUAAUACCGGAUAGGAGCUCCUGCUGCAUGGUGGGGGUUGGAAAGUUUCGGCGGUUGGGGAUGGACUCGCGGCUUAUCAGCUUGUUGGUGGAGUAGUGGCUUACCAAGGCUUAGACGGGUAGCCGGCCUGAGAGGGUGACCGGCGACAAGGGGACUGAGAUAGGGACCAGAAUGCAACGGGAGGCAGUAGUGGGAAAUAUUGCGGAACGGGCGGGAGUCAGAUACAGAAACGCCGGGUGCGGAAAAACGUCUUUCGAGGUGAAAACCGCUUUCGCCUGAGACGAGGCGUGAGUGACGGUAAUGGGUAAAGAAGCACCGGCUAACUACGUG
Molecule: ribosomal RNA, 468 nt
Filed under: uncultured bacterium
Lineage: Bacteria
Description: partial 16S ribosomal RNA
Rfam family: Bacterial small subunit ribosomal RNA
Source: RNAcentral